GGAGUUAGCCGGUGCUUCUUCUGUGAGUGAUGUCCUUCCUGCCGGUUAUUGACCCGCAGGCCUUCUUCCUCACUGAAAGUGCUUUACAACCCGAAGGCCUUCUUCACACACGCGGCAUGGCUGGAUCAGGGUUGCCCCCAUUGUCCAAUAUUCCCCACUGCUGCCUCCCGUAGGAGUCUGGGCCGUGUCUCAGUCCCAGUGUGGCUGAUCAUCCUCUCAGACCAGCUACGGAUCGUCGCCUUGGUGAGCCGUUACCUCACCAACCAGCUAAUCCGACAUAGGCUCAUCCGAUAGCGCGAGGACCGAAGGUCCCCCGCUUUCCCCCGUAGGGCGUAUGCGGUAUUAGCCUGGGUUUCCCCAGGUUAUCCCCCACUACCGGGCAGAUUCCUAUGCAUUACUCACCCGUCCGCCGCUCGCCACCAGGGAGCAAGCUCCCCGUGCUGCCGCUCGACUUGCAUGUGUUAGGCCUGCCGCCAGCGUUCAAUCUGAGCCAGAAUCGAACCCUGA
This 507-nucleotide ribosomal RNA is filed under the name uncultured bacterium. Its description in RNAcentral is "partial 16S ribosomal RNA". The record is from RNAcentral.